AACGAACGCUGGCGGCAUGCCUAACACAUGCAAGUCGAACGGGAUCCUAGCUUGCUAGGUGAGAGUGGCGGACGGGUGAGUAACACGUGGGAAUCUGCCUUUUGGUUCGGGAUAACCGCGGGAAACUGCGGCUAAUACCGAAUGCCCUCGAGAGAGGAAAGAUUUAUCGCCAGAAGAGGAGCCCGCGUCCGAUUAGGUAGUUGGUGGGGUAAAGGCCUACCAAGCCGACGAUCGGUAGCUGGUCUGAGAGGAUGAUCAGCCACACUGGGACUGAGAUACGGCCCAGACUCCUACGGGAGGCAGCAGUGGGGAAUAUUGGACAAUGGGGGGCAACCCCUGGAUCCAGCAAUGCCGCGUGAGUGAUGAAGGCCUUAGG
RNAcentral lists this ribosomal RNA (376 nucleotides) under uncultured bacterium. RNAcentral's name for it is "bacterial SSU rRNA". It matches the Rfam family "Bacterial small subunit ribosomal RNA", at positions 29 to 421 of the family's 1533-position model. The record is from RNAcentral.